This 484-nucleotide ribosomal RNA is filed under the name uncultured bacterium. RNAcentral's name for it is "partial 16S ribosomal RNA". It matches the Rfam family "Bacterial small subunit ribosomal RNA", at positions 30 to 507 of the family's 1533-position model. The record is from RNAcentral.
AUUGAACGCUGGCGGCAGGCCUAACACAUGCAAGUCGAGCGGAUGAAGGGAGCUUGCUCCUGGAUUCAGCGGCGGACGGGUGAGUAAUGCCUAGGAAUCUGCCUGGUAGUGGGGGAUAACGUCCGGAAACGGGCGCUAAUACCGCAUACGUCCUGAGUGAGAAAGUGGGGGAUCUUCGGACCUCACGCUAUCAGCUGAGCCUAGGUCGGAUUAGCUAGUUGGUGGGGUAAAGGCCUACCAAGGCGACGAUCCGUAACUGGUCUGAGAGGAUGAUCAGUCACACUGGAACUGAGACACGGUCCAGACUCCUACGGGAGGCAGCAGUGGGGAAUAUUGGACAAUGGGCGAAAGCCUGAUCCAGCAAUGCCGCGUGUGUGAAGAAGGUCUUCGGAUUGUAAAGCACUUUAAGUUGGGAGGAAGGGAAGUAAGUUAAUACCUUGCUGUUUUGACGGUACCAAAAGAAUAAGCACCGGCUAACUUCGUG